GAUGAACGCUGGCGGCGUGCUUAACACAUGCAAGUCGAGCGAAGCGAUUUAAAUGAGACUUCGGUGGAUUUUAAAUUGACUGAGCGGCGGACGGGUGAGUAACGCGUGGAUAACCUGCCUCACACAGGGGGAUAACAGUUAGAAAUGACUGCUAAUACCGCAUAAGCGCACGGUACCGCAUGGUACAGUGUGAAAAACUCCGGUGGUGUGAGAUGGAUCCGCGUCUGAUUAGGUAGUUGGUGAGGUAACGGCCCACCAAGCCGACGAUCAGUAGCCGACCUGAGAGGGUGACCGGCCACAUUGGGACUGAGACACGGCCCAAACUCCUACGGGAGGCAGCAGUGGGGAAUAUUGCACAAUGGGCGAAAGCCUGAUGCAGCAACGCCGCGUGAGUGAAGAAGUAUCUCGGUAUGUAAAGCUCUAUCAGCAGGGAAGAAAAUGACGGUAC
RNAcentral lists this ribosomal RNA (448 nucleotides) under uncultured bacterium. Its description in RNAcentral is "bacterial SSU rRNA". It matches the Rfam family "Bacterial small subunit ribosomal RNA", at positions 28 to 478 of the family's 1533-position model. The record is from RNAcentral.